GCGGGACAGAGGUGUCGUGCCGCAAGACAGCCCGUGCCACUGUCACGCCUGUUUGCGGAGAAGAAUCAACGGCCAAGGCAAAAACUACGAGCCUGGGCACAUUCCCAACCACUUCGGGGCUCACACACCCGCAUUUGGUGCAGGAAUUCAGAGAGGCUUUUGAAAUUCGGGCAGUUGAACGGAGAACACGAGAGCAAGUGGAGCUGCUGUACCCUUUCUCCGCUUACCCUCCUCGCCCAUCUGUCAGUGAUCCAAGUGUAGUAAAGAUGACAAUGGCCACUAAGGAAACGAACACCCACCCACAGAGGAAGAGGAACGAGGAGGAGGAGGAGGAGGAAAAGUGGCAACGUGAAAGUGGAGAAAAAGAAAAUGCGAGAGGCCCAGGACGAACUGAAGUGUUACAGACCCUCCACUCUGAGCGCCAUCUAAGUGAACAUUUCGUCGAUAACACCUGUGAGUGUACCUGCCAACACCUGAGCCACGCUGACCCUGCUGGCGGUGAUGGUGAUGAUGAUGGUGGUGAUGAUAGUGAUGGUGGUGAAACGGUGGUGACUUGGAUGCAUAGGUCACCAGUUUUAUUUCCUCAUCACCAUCCUCUCCUUCAUCACCCAUCUACUUUUCUUCCCCCUUCCUCCUCCUCCUUCACGUGCUCUUUCAGCUGUCUUCCUCCUCCUCCUCCUCCUCCUCCUCCUCAGCUACCAUCACUGCCACCACCACCACCACCACCACAUCAUCAACAACAACAACAACAACAACAACAACAUCACACCUGCUUGGGAUGUGCUAAUGCCAAGGGCACGGAACAGCAUCAUUGUGGAGAGAAGUUGGAGGGACAGAGAUGAAGCAAGAAGAGGAGGAGGAGGAGGAAGAAGAGGAAGAAGGGGAAGAAGAAAGUGAAGUCUGUUGCGAGAUAACUUCAGAGGAACAGUACACAUCACUAACCGAGGCCGAGGUGGAUGUCCUAACUUACCAAUACCUGAUGAAGAUGCACCAGGCGGCCGCGGAGAUAACGAGGGCCAUCUUUAGAAAAUACAUGGUCAUCGCGGACUAGUGGCGAUGAUGAUGAUGAGGAGGAGGAGGAGGACAACAACAACAACAACAACAACAACAACUCUCUCUACGACGAUGAUGGAGAAGAUGAUGAUGACGAUGAUGAUAGGAAGUUUGUUUGUUUCCUUGUUUAUUUAUUCAUGUAUAUAAUCUACGCAGCACUUUUGUCGAUAGCCUAA
This is a long non-coding RNA of Eriocheir sinensis (Chinese mitten crab), 1229 nucleotides long. RefSeq lists it as uncharacterized. The record is from RefSeq and is a predicted model, not a curated record. Lineage: Eukaryota; Metazoa; Arthropoda; Malacostraca; Decapoda; Varunidae. The transcript has 5 exons.